This 445-nucleotide ribosomal RNA is filed under the name uncultured bacterium. RNAcentral describes it as "partial 16S ribosomal RNA". It matches the Rfam family "Bacterial small subunit ribosomal RNA", at positions 354 to 796 of the family's 1533-position model. The record is from RNAcentral.
GUGAGGAAUAUUGGUCAAUGGGCGGGAGCCUGAACCAGCCAAGUCGCGUGAAGGAAGAAUGAUCUAUGGUUCGUAAACUUCUUUUGCAGGGGAAUAAAGUGCAGGACGUGUCCUGUUUUGUAUGUACCCUGAGAAUAAGGAUCGGCUAACUCCGUGCCAGCAGCCGCGGUAAUACGGAGGAUCCGAGCGUUAUCCGGAUUUAUUGGGUUUAAAGGGUGCGUAGGUGGUUUGAUAAGUCAGCGGUGAAAGUUUGCAGCUUAACUGUAAAAAUGCCGUUGAAACUGUCGGACUUGAGUGUAAAUGAGGUAGGCGGAAUGCGUGGUGUAGCGGUGAAAUGCAUAGAUAUCACGCAGAACUCCGAUUGCGAAGGCAGCUUACUAAGCUACAACUGACACUGAAGCACGAAAGCGUGGGGAUCAAACAGGAUUAGAUACCCUUGUAGUCC